This 532-nucleotide ribosomal RNA is filed under the name uncultured Streptomyces sp. RNAcentral's name for it is "bacterial SSU rRNA". It matches the Rfam family "Bacterial small subunit ribosomal RNA", at positions 355 to 897 of the family's 1533-position model. Lineage: Bacteria; Bacillati; Actinomycetota; Actinomycetes; Kitasatosporales; Streptomycetaceae. The record is from RNAcentral.
UGGGGAAUAUUGCACAAUGGGCGAAAGCCUGAUGCAGCGACGCCGCGUGAGGGAUGACGGCCUUCGGGUUGUAAACCUCUUUCAGCAGGGAAGAAGCGAAAGUGACGGUACCUGCAGAAGAAGCGCCGGCUAAUUACGUGCCAGCAGCCGCGGUAAUACGUAGGGCGCGAGCGUUGUCCGGAAUUAUUGGGCGUAAAGAGCUCGUAGGCGGUCUGUCGCGUCGGAUGUGAAAGCCCGGGGCUUAACCCCGGGUCUGCAUUCGAUACGGGCAGACUAGAGUGUGGUAGGGGAGAUCGGAAUUCCUGGUGUAGCGGUGAAAUGCGCAGAUAUCAGGAGGAACACCGGUGGCGAAGGCGGAUCUCUGGGCCAUUACUGACGCUGAGGAGCGAAAGCGUGGGGAGCGAACAGGAUUAGAUACCCUGGUAGUCCACGCCGUAAACGGUGGGAACUAGGUGUUGGCGACAUUCCACGUCGUCGGUGCCGCAGCUAACGCAUUAAGUUCCCCGCCUGGGGAGUACGGCCGCAAGGCUAA